This 350-nucleotide transfer-messenger RNA is filed under the name Propionispira arboris. RNAcentral describes it as "Standard tmRNA". It matches the Rfam family "transfer-messenger RNA". Rfam says of the family: Bacterial tmRNA, also known as 10Sa RNA or SsrA, is named for its dual tRNA and mRNA-like properties. Its role is to liberate the mRNA from a stalled ribosome. The record is from Rfam by way of RNAcentral. Lineage: Bacteria; Bacillati; Bacillota; Negativicutes; Selenomonadales; Selenomonadaceae.
GGGGACGUAAAGGUUUCGACGGGGGUGGAGGAGCAUAGGAAGCGAGCCGGGGGGUCAUCAACCCGUUAGUAAGGUGAACCUUAAAUUAAAAGCUAAUAAUGAUAAUUACGCUUUAGCAGCCUAAGCGCUGCAUCUCUUGUUUAUCUAAGCCUGCGGGGUUUACUUGAGACAAAUUAGUGGGAUACCUGAGAGUCAAUUCUCGGAGACUUGAAUGGGAAAUUUAUCGAGAUCGGAUUAGGAAAGUUUGUUUGCGGACGUUUGUAAUCUAAAACUUAAAUCGUAGACUGCGCUCGGAGAUGCCUAUGUGGCUUUGCUUUCGGACAGGAGUUCGACUCUCCUCGUCUCCACCA